GUUACAAUAAGUCUCACCUCCCUUGUAGAUAGGGGGGACGGUCUACAAGGAGUGAAGGCACAACUUGGAUCUCCGUAGGCCUACGGUAGCCAACUGGGCCCAGCCCCAGCUGGUGGCCAACUAGUCACUCCCCCCUAAAGAGCCUUAGGAACAACUAGGCUUGUGGCAAGAGGAGACAUCAACAUGUCUCAUAUGACACCCCCCUAAAAUAAAUACAUGAAAAGGAAUUACAACAAAUUGUCUCGGCCAUUAUCUUCCUAUUAAUUUCUACUAUUUUAUCCCAAUAUUGCUUUCUAGGAAUUCCAAUGUUGGAAAAUUACAGUUUUGGUCCCUGAAAACUCUAUGACCCUGACACUCCCCCACUUAAACGGUCGAC
This 376-nucleotide long non-coding RNA is filed under the name Manihot esculenta (cassava). RNAcentral describes it as "long non-coding RNA (MESC_LNC001597)". The record is from RNAcentral. Lineage: Eukaryota; Viridiplantae; Streptophyta; Magnoliopsida; Malpighiales; Euphorbiaceae.